GACGAACGCUGGCGGCGUGCUUAACACAUGCAAGUCGAACGGAAAGGCCCUGCUUUUGUGGGGUGCUCGAGUGGCGAACGGUUGAGUAACACGUGAGUAACCUGCCCUUGACUUUGGGAUAACUUCAGGAAACUGGGGCUAAUACCGGAUAGGAGCUCCUGCUGCAUGGUGGGGGUUGGAAAGUUUCGGCGGUUGGGGAUGGACUCGCGGCUUAUCAGCUUGUUGGUGGGGUAGUGGCUUACCAAGGCUUUGACGGGUAGCCGGCCUGAGAGGGUGACCGGCCACAUUGGGACUGAGAUACGGCCCAGACUCCUACGGGAGGCAGCAGUGGGGAAUAUUGCACAAUGGGCGGAAGCCUGAUGCAGCAACGCCGCGUGCGGGAUGACGGCCUUCGGGUUGUAAACCGCUUUCGCCUGUGACGAAGCGUGAGUGACGGUAAUGGGUAAAGAAGCACCGGCUAACUACGU
This 467-nucleotide ribosomal RNA is filed under the name uncultured bacterium. Its description in RNAcentral is "partial 16S ribosomal RNA". It matches the Rfam family "Bacterial small subunit ribosomal RNA", at positions 28 to 506 of the family's 1533-position model. The record is from RNAcentral.